UGCAAGUCGAGGGGUAACAGAGAAGCUUGCUUCUGCUGACGACCGGCGCACGGGUGCGUAACGCGUAUGCAACCUACCUUAUACAGGAGAAUACCCCUUGGAAACGAGGAAUAAUGCUCCAUAGUAUCAUCACUUCGCAUGUUGAGAUGAUUAAAGAAUUUCGGUAUAAGAUGGGCAUGCGUCCCAUUAGCUUGUUGGUGAGGUAACGGCUCACCAAGGCUACGAUGGGUAGGGGGCCUGAGAGGGUGGUCCCCCACACUGGUACUGAGACACGGACCAGACUCCUACGGGAGGCAGCAGUGAGGAAUAUUGGUCAAUGGAGGCAACUCUGAACCAGCCAUGCCGCGUGAAGGAUGACGGCCCUAUGGGUUGUAAACUUCUUUUGAAUAGGAAGAAACUUAUCUACGUGUAGAUAACUGACGGUACUAUUAGAAUAAGGAUCGGCUAACUCCGUGCCAGCAGCCGCGGUAAUACGGAGGAUCCAAGCGUUAUCCGGAUUCAUUGGGUUUAAAGGGUCCGUAGGCGGGUCUUUAAGUCAGUGGUGAAAGCCGACAGCUCAACUGUCGAACUGCCAUUGAUACUGGAGACCUUGAGUACAAAUGAAGUAGGCGGAAUGAGUCAUGUAGCGGUGAAAUGCAUAGAUAUGACUCAGAACACCGAUUGCGAAGGCAGCUUACUAAGUACUAAUUGACACUGAUGGACGAAAGCGUGGGUAGCGAACAGGAUUAGAUACCC
This 735-nucleotide ribosomal RNA is filed under the name uncultured Bacteroidota bacterium. Its description in RNAcentral is "bacterial SSU rRNA". It matches the Rfam family "Bacterial small subunit ribosomal RNA", at positions 56 to 787 of the family's 1533-position model. The record is from RNAcentral. Lineage: Bacteria; Pseudomonadati; Bacteroidota.